UUUUUUUUUUUUUUUUUUUUGAGACAGAGUUUUGCUCUCGCUGCCCAGACUGGAGUGCAAUGAUGCGAUCUUGGCUCACUGCAACCUCCGCCUCCUGGGUUCAAGCGAUUCUCCUGCCUCAGCCUCCCAAGUAGCUGGGAUUACAGGUGCCUGCUCCCACACCCAGCUAAUUUUUGUAUUUUUAGUAUAGACGAGGUUUCACCAUGUUGGCCAGGCUGGUCUUGAACUCCUAACCUCAAGAGAUCCACCUGUCUCGGCCUCCCAAAGUGCUGGGAUUACAGGUGUGAGCCACCACGCCCGGCUGAGCCCCACUUUUCUGGAUCUUGGGCUGGGGGAGAAAAAGGAAGCCGUUUUCUCCACUCCCAGGGCCCAGGGACAGGGAAGUGGCCUGGACCCCUGGGGAGGGAGGGACAGGGAGGUGGCCUGGACCCCUGGGGAGGGAGGGACAGGGAGGUGGCCUGGCCCCUGGGGAGGGAGGGACAGGGAGGUGGCCUGGCCCCUGGGGAGGGCAGCACUUUGGUUGUAGGGUUGGUCCGGAGAGCCAGAGGCGGAAAGGAUCUCCAGGGGGAGCUGGUGGGCCCUUCCCCGCGGGGCUCUGCUCAGCCUGUGGUGGCCACACGGCAGGGGCCCUACUCCCAGACCCUCAACCACUGCCAGCCCAGCCAGCCUGCUUCUGACGAUGUCCGGUUCUCUCGGGUUUCCUUGAUCAGGCUUCUUCAAUGCCUAAAGCUUUGGGACACUUCAUGGUGGCUCUCUGGGGUCCAGGUGGCCGCUGUCCACCCUGGCUCCCUGUGUUGCCCCCUCCUGAGGCCCUGGCUCCUGGAUGCUUCAGCCUACGUGUGCCUCCUCGCUCUAUUUUCGUGGGCACUACCCCUUCGCAGGGCCCACCUCCUGGCUUCCGCCCCUGCCCGCUCUUUGAGCAGGGGUGGAUCUCCCCAGCACCGGCCCACACGGCUGUGCUUGCGGCCAAAUGGUAUGGGCGUGGCAGAGACUCCUGGAGCCUCUUCUCGAGGGGGCCUCAACCUCAGGCUUCCACGUGCAACCCCGCCGAGUCCAAUGGAGCAUCCACGUGCAACCCCUCCGAGUCCAACGGAGCUUCCACGUGCAACCCCUCCGAGUCCAACGGAGCUUCCAUGUUCAACCCCACCAAGUCCAGCGGAGCAUGAACCCCACCCCGAUGUCUGAGCACCAGGAGCUGAUCAGACCUCAGUCCUCGGUGCCCUCAACAGAACAUCCUGGCCCCGCCGCACCCUCCUGGUGAUUUUCCAGCCACGGACCCCGUCGCUCCUCAGCUGUGAACCCUCCUUGUCCUGCUGCACCCAACACAGAGCCCGUCUCUCCCCCGCUGCAGGAGUCCGGAAUGAAGUUUUCCUUGCCAUUGUAAUAAGCACCAGGAUAAUUCUUCUUUAACAGGUUUUCUCUAGACUGGAUCAGGGACAGUCGAGGCUAUAAAUUGUGAAUUAGCUGUGACCCUGCCACCCACGGUUGCC
This 1490-nucleotide long non-coding RNA is filed under the name Macaca fascicularis (crab-eating macaque). Its description in RNAcentral is "lncRNA (ENSMFAG00000053385.1)". Lineage: Eukaryota; Metazoa; Chordata; Mammalia; Primates; Cercopithecidae. The record is from RNAcentral.